Molecule: ribosomal RNA, 551 nt
Filed under: uncultured archaeon
Lineage: Archaea
Description: bacterial SSU rRNA
Rfam family: Archaeal small subunit ribosomal RNA
Source: RNAcentral
GCACUACAACGGGUGGAGCCUGCGGUUUAAUUGGAUUCAACGCCGGAAAACUCACCGGGUGCGACAGCAAUAUGCAGGUCAGGCUGAAGGUCUUACCUGAAUCGCUGAGAGGAGGUGCAUGGCCGUCGUCAGUUCGUACUGUGAAGCAUCCUGUUAAGUCAGGCAACGAGCGAGACCCGCGCCCACAGUUGCCAGCAUGUUCUCCGGAACGAUGGGUACACUGUGGGGACCGCCGCUGCUAAAGCGGAGGAAGGAACGGGCUACGGUAGGUCAGUAUGCCCCGAAUCUCCCGGGCUACACGCGGGCUACAAUGGUUGGGACAAUGGGCACCUACCCUGAAAAGGGACGGUAAUCUCCUAAACCCAACCGUAGUUCGGAUUGAGGGCUGUAACUCGCCCUCAUGAAGCUGGAAUCCGUAGUAAUCGCGUUUCAACAUAGCGCGGUGAAUACGUCCCUGCUCCUUGCACACACCGCCCGUCAAACCAUGCGAGUGAGGUCUGGGUGAGGGCAUGUUUAUGACAUGUUCGAACCUGGGCUUCGCAAGUGGGGUU